CACAAGCGGUGGAUGAUGUGGAUUAAUUCGAUGCAACGCGAAAAACCUUACUACCCUUGACAUGUCCGGAAUCCUGCAGAGAUGCGGGAGUGCCCGAAAGGGAAUCGGAACACAGGUGCUGCAUGGCUGUCGUCAGCUCGUGUCGUGAGAUGUUGGGUUAAGUCCCGCAACGAGCGCAACCCUUAUCAUUAGUUGCUACGCAAGGGCACUCUAAUGAGACUGCCGGUGACAAACCGGAGGAAGGUGGGGAUGACGUCAAGUCCUCAUGGCCCUUAUGGGUAGGGCUUCACACGUCAUACAAUGGUCGGUACAGAGGGUUGCCAAGCCGCGAGGUGGAGCCAAUCCCAGAAAGCCGAUCGUAGUCCGGAUUGUUCUCUGCAACUCGAGAGCAUGAAGUCGGAAUCGCUAGUAAUCGCGGAUCAGCAUGUCGCGGUGAAUACGUUCCCGGGUCUU
RNAcentral lists this ribosomal RNA (453 nucleotides) under uncultured Thiobacillus sp. Its description in RNAcentral is "bacterial SSU rRNA". It matches the Rfam family "Bacterial small subunit ribosomal RNA", at positions 924 to 1382 of the family's 1533-position model. Lineage: Bacteria; Pseudomonadati; Pseudomonadota; Betaproteobacteria; Nitrosomonadales; Thiobacillaceae. The record is from RNAcentral.